This 253-nucleotide ribosomal RNA is filed under the name uncultured bacterium. RNAcentral describes it as "partial 16S ribosomal RNA". It matches the Rfam family "Bacterial small subunit ribosomal RNA", at positions 524 to 776 of the family's 1533-position model. The record is from RNAcentral.
GACGAACCGUGCGAACGUUAUUCGGAAUCACUGGGCUUAAAGGGCGCGUAGGCGGGCCGACGAGCCAGGGGUGAAAUCCUCCAGCCCAACUGGAGAACAGCCCCUGGGACCGGCGGCCUCGAGGGGUGCAGGGGCAUGCGGAACUCAGGGUGGAGCGGUGAAAUGCGUAGAGAUCCUGAGGAACACCGGUGGCGAAAGCAGCUUACUAAAGAGUAACUGACGCUGAGGCACGAAAGUGUGGGGAUCAAACAGG